This is a long non-coding RNA of Thalassophryne amazonica, 514 nucleotides long. RefSeq lists it as uncharacterized. The record is from RefSeq and is a predicted model, not a curated record. The transcript is spliced from 4 exons. Lineage: Eukaryota; Metazoa; Chordata; Actinopteri; Batrachoidiformes; Batrachoididae.
CAGGGACAGGUGUCGAGUAGCACAGCUGGCCCUGUACGACGGGCCUUUUGCUGACCUCGGGGAUUGUGUUGUUAUGGUGUCCUGUUUUGUAAAGCUCUGAAAACCUACAACAUGUUGUGCUUUGGAAUCUAUCGAUUACGAGACGCACACCUGAACACGCAGAGUCAGUGCACCAAGCGGUACGUCAUCACCAAUCCGCCGUACGCCAUUUGAGCUGGUGCCCUCUGACCUGAUCUUCUGCCUGAUGCAGUUCGACCACAACGCCGGCCAGUCCAGAACCAGCCUCAGUCACUCUUCCCAUUCGUCGCCAUUCCUCCAGCAAAAGAGCUCCUCCCCUCCACUCCAUCCCAAGCACUAACCGCACCAACCGCACCAAAAGCAGGGACUCACGAGACAAACAAAAAAAAGACAUGGUUUACAGAUGAGCCAGACAAUACCCUUGAGGACCACACAGAUCAAGUCUGUGAAUACUCUCGCCAUCAACCAAGUCUCUCAGUAUAAGUCCACAAGCAGC